RNAcentral lists this long non-coding RNA (219 nucleotides) under Chelonoidis abingdonii (Abingdon island giant tortoise). RNAcentral's name for it is "lncRNA (ENSCABG00000021804.1)". Lineage: Eukaryota; Metazoa; Chordata; Testudines; Testudinidae. The record is from RNAcentral.
GCAUGGGUCUUAUCAUUCAUGUGCAUCUGCAGCCUCUUCACAUGUUACCCCCAUCCCCAGAUGGAGUCUAACCUCAUACAGGUGAACUCCUCCUGGGAUGAACACCUGUCUCAGGUGAGAUGCCAUGAUGUGGGAAGGGUUCCUGAAGUUAGUCUUGGCCAGCUCCUGAUCCAGCUGCCCAGGUUAAAGAUGCUGGAGUGGAUGGCUGCACUGCACUGA